RNAcentral lists this transfer RNA (72 nucleotides) under Nitrosococcus oceani. Lineage: Bacteria; Pseudomonadati; Pseudomonadota; Gammaproteobacteria; Chromatiales; Chromatiaceae. The record is from RNAcentral. RNAcentral also lists the same sequence under 2 other names.
GGGUAGGUAAAAAGAAAGGUAUUCUGACUCUUAAUCAGUUGCUUCAAGGUUCGAGUCCUUGAUGGCCCACCA